Molecule: long non-coding RNA, 1779 nt
Filed under: Homo sapiens (human)
Lineage: Eukaryota; Metazoa; Chordata; Mammalia; Primates; Hominidae
Description: non-protein coding lnc-CNTNAP2-7:1
Source: RNAcentral
CAAUCAUCUUAACCAAUGUAAGUAUUAGCCAGCUUUUGCUAUGACACCAAAUACUCUUAAAACACUGUGAUUUAUAACAGUAAAUAUCUAUAUCUUACUUAUGGUUUGAGAGUCAGCUGCAGUUCUGCUUGGCUCUGUCUAGCUUAUAUCAAUGUGGCUCUGCCCCACAUUUUGUCCUUAGGUGGAGGCUGAUGGAAUAGUCCCUGCUAUUCCCAGGGAGGGGUUUAGGAGGAAGCUGGCCUAAGCCAAUCUAUGCAUUCUCAUUCAAGCGUCUAGUCCUCAUGACAAGUAUCACAUCCAUGCACUUCUCAUUGGCCAAAGCAUGUCAUAUUGCCAAGGCUCACAUUAAUGAGUUUUGUAAUAUGAAGUUUGCAUGUUCUGCUUGUCUUUGUUUUACUGAAAUUCAGUUUCUCUGUAAAAAACAAACUCAUUUUCUUUUUAACAGGAAAUUCAGCAAAUCAUUAUUUUUAUGAAUUCAGUCAAUUCACAAUGAUCAUUUCUGUUGUCAUUGGUCUCUUUUCUGCCAUCUUGCUUUAUCCUCCCCUCUUUUCAUCUUUCCUGUUUUUUCCUUCCUUCUUUCCACCUCCUACAUUCCUGCUGUAUUUAUUGCUUUGUGUCUCUUUACUUUUCUAUAUUAAUUUGAAGUGAAGAAAUGCUAAUAAACAGCCAAAUGGCCAAAGGUAACUCCAUAGUGUGACCUUGGAACAUAUGACCUCAUCAGUAGAGACAAAAGACAUCCCUGGAGUACACAACAGGUUAAAGUCUUAUCUCAGGACAUCUCAAGACAAAACCUAGCUUGUGUUACAUAUGUAAAAUCAUAUGUAACACAAUUUUAUUCAAUUAUGUUAAUUAUACAAUCAUAAUGCCUAAUGAACAUUUGAACAAUUAUAAUUCUUUGCAUUAAAUGUGAUAGUAAAUUUGUAAACUGUAUUUGUAGGCAAUACUAAAUUUGGUUCACAAAACCUGCCCUAACAGGUUAUUUUUACCUUACCACAGAGAAAUAGAUAGAUAAAAAUAGAUCAUUAUUAUAAAACUAUUGCCAAUCAAACUAGAGUCUCUGGUAAAGGAACACAGGCAUGAGCAUUUUUUAAGCGUUCCUAAGUGAUUCAAAAGAGCACUUCAUCUGACGUUCACCAAACUAGGUCAAAAACCCCAUCUUAUUCUUCAUCCUUUCCUUACUCCUUUCUCUAAAGAUGACAGAUCAGAUUGGUGAGUUUCACUAAGAAACAAAGUUCAGCCCCUUCUUUUCCUUCUCUUCCAGCCAGUCUGUGAGAUGAUGUGCUCUGAUCUGUGAUCUAUCUCUGACAAUAGGCCCACCCUCAUGGAAUUCUGGUUUUGUUCUGUCUUUGUUUUGGAAAUAAAUUGCACCAAUUGCUACAGUGAUAAUUAAUCACUUACUUUGUUUUAACUUUUUAUUAGAGACAGGGUCUCAUUCUGUCACCCAGGCUUGAGAACGGUGGCACAAUCAUAACUCAUUGCAGCCUUGAACUCCUGGGCUCAAGCGAUCCUCCCACCUCAGCCUCCCAAGUAGCUAGGACUACAGGUUCGUGCCACCAUGCCUGGCUAUGUUUUUAUUUUUAUUUGCAGAAAUUAUGAGUGAUUUUAUUUUAUUCUUUUCAGCUUUUAUUUUAGGUUCAGGGGUUACAUACACAGUUUUGUUAUAUGGGUAAAUUUCAUGUCAUGGGGGUUAGGUGUAUAGAUUUUUCCAUCACCCAGGCAAUAAGCACAGUACCCAAUGAGCAGUUUUUCAAUCUUUGCCCUCUUACCACCCUUGCCCCU